Molecule: ribosomal RNA, 894 nt
Filed under: Triticum aestivum (bread wheat)
Lineage: Eukaryota; Viridiplantae; Streptophyta; Magnoliopsida; Poales; Poaceae
Description: partial small subunit ribosomal RNA
Source: RNAcentral
AUGCGCCAACAGUUUACGUCUUCUAAUCCUGGUGGCGCCUUCAAACCACUCCGUUGCGCCGUCGUGCGUGAGCUGCUGUCUCCCGCGACUGGAUCGCGCCGUCGCCCUGCUCGCAUCGCCUCUCCGUCCCCUGGUCGCGGCGCCGGCAUCCAGGCCUUCAUCUCCGACGAGCGCCUGCCUGCCUUCGGCCGGUCGUCGUCCUCCCCUGAGAUCCGCCCCCACGUACCCCGCCCGAGUUCGCCGCGGACCUGCCGCUCCGCGCCCGAACUCGCCGAUCCCGGCUAUCGUUCCCAUGGGAGGAGUCUGAUGGAAAACAGUACAUCUGAUCAAUUUGUUAACGGCAGUUGUCACCGGAGCCGUCAGAAUGACAACAAUGGCACUGAUUGUUCGGGAGAAUCACAUGGCGAUCCGAUGCGGAAGCUACACCAGCUUGUCAAAGAACACGGCGCACUCUGUCGAGCAUUUCUCCACGAAGCAUCAUCCUCUGCAACUGCAAUGCAUCAUCAGCAGCAGUCCGAACACCUCGUGCGCAAGCUCGGAUCGAUCUGGUACCAUCCGGAGUGGGCAGCUCGCGUGCAAGAUCUCCAGUGUUUAUUCUCCUACUCCGAGUUCAGGCAUGAUGUGCUGGAAAUUGUUGAGUUCUUCGAGAAGGAGCUCGGAAAGUGCAGGGAUGAGCUCCAAACAGGUCAAGCAAUAAGCUAUUCAGCCUUAACCAACCUCCUGCCGCUGAUCGUUCCUUUGGUCUUGAAGCUGCUUCGAGCUGUACAUGCCCUAUGGAUAUCGUACGCGGAGGAUGCAAUGGCAAAUUUGCCAGAAGAACUCGUAGAAACUGCCAGAAUCAUGCAGAACCCUGCUCAGAUCUCUCGUCUCCUCAUAGAAAUCGGGGAACUGUAG